RNA transcript from Poecile atricapillus (Black-capped chickadee), 2405 nucleotides. It is a transcript of the gene named protein phosphatase 1 regulatory inhibitor subunit 2, with no coding region annotated. The transcript has 8 exons. The record is from RefSeq and is a predicted model, not a curated record. NCBI's taxonomy places the organism in Eukaryota, Metazoa, Chordata, Aves, Passeriformes, Paridae.
GCUGAGGCGGCGGCGCUGGCGCGGGGCGGGCCCGGCCGGGGCGGUGGCGGCGGCGGCGGAACCGGGCGGGCGGCGCGGCCAUGGAGGCGCCCUCGGUACCGGACGCCUCGGCGACGGGUAGGGGGCCCAUCAAGGGCAUCCUGAAGAAGAGCGGCAGCAAGGCGUCGUCGGGAGCGGCCGUGGGGGCACGGCAGGCCAGCCAGGCCUGCGAUGAGGACGAGCACGGUAAAAAAUCCCAGAAGUGGGAUGAAAUGAACAUCAUAGCUACGUACCACCCUGCAGGCAAAGAUUAUGGCUUGAUGAAAAUUGAUGAGCCAAGUACUCCUUACCACAGCAUGAUAGGAGAAGAUGAUGAAGAUGCAGUGAGUGAUUCAGAAUAUGAGCCCUUAAGAGCAGAUGUGUUGAGUAAAAAGCUGGCAGCUGCAGCUGAAGGUAGAGGACCCAAGAUUAUAGCAAGGCAAGAAGAAAGCAGUGAGGAGGAGGAUGAAGAUGAAGAAUUAACACCUGAAGAACGGGAGAAAAAGAAACAGUUUGAAAUGAAGAGAAAAAUGCACUACAAUGAAGGAAGAAACAUCAAACUGGCGAGGCAGCUCAUUGCGAAAGAAAUGCGUGGUGAAGAAGAGGAAGAUGAAGAGGAUGAAGAGAUGCGUGAUGCUGCAGAUGUAGAAACAAUGAGUACAGAAGCUACUGAACAUGGGGAAAGGAGGGCUGCAGCAGCCAACCGUAUGAGCCUUCUGCAUGGCCUGAAGCUGCCAUCUCUCUGCACUCUGCUGUAAAACAGAGGCAACUCCGCUCCCCAGCUGCAUUCGCCAGUGGAAAGAAGGCAGACCUUUGCAGCAUUUUUCCAUCUCUAUUGUUGAAGUCCAUUCCACCUUCCUCAUAACCAGCUUCAGAACCACAACUGACUGAGAUUUCUUGCUGAUUGAAAUGAAGAUGGCCAGUCCAGUCAGUGAUGCACAUGUUACUCGUGACCAGCUGGAAAGUAGAGCACACAGCAUAGAAGAAAUCUGUCCAGAACUGUAACUGCUUGUCAAAGACACAAAUAUAAACAUCGCUUCAUGAUUUUUGCAAUUAAGGCUCUUAAAUGUAAAGAAGCAUAUCAGUUACAAUGUUGUAUUGCCAAGAAUGUUAAUUUUAGACUUGUCCAUUAGGCAGAAAACACUGUCUAAUUGAUUUUUUCUUGUGCCUAGUAUUUCUUGGGAGAAUACUGCUUCAUAAUUUGUUCAACCAGAAUGGCAUUCCCUGUAUGUAUAGCGCUGAUUAUCUUGCGUGAUGUACUGUUACUCUUGCUUUGAAACACUCACUGUCUUUUGGUUUUUCACUAUUUAUUUGAGAGUGUUCUAGAUGCGGUGUCUCAUGUGGAAAGUUUUGGGAUUCAAGAGCCACACGGUACAGCAUAUAUCAGAUUGACAUGUAAGCUAUUUAUCAGAUGUGUUAAGCAGUUUAAAAAGGGAUUAUUCAAGUCCUACAACUUUUUUUUUGUAAAGUGUUGACCUGUUAAUCUAGAUUUCAGUAUGUUUUUACCUGCACUUUCCCAGUCUUUAGAACAAGAGCUGUGUUAUUUCUUAAGAGCAGUGUUUGGAAUCGGUUGUUAGUUUCUGACUAAAGCAGUACUAACAUCUGGCAGAGGGAGUGUUUUUACACUGGAAAUGGCUAACUUGAACUUUGCAUUUAACUGUCAUAACCUCUUCCAUCAGGACUGGUUGUUUUGUGGAGCUCUCUCUGGCUUAUUGUGAGAAUGUGCAAGUUUCCUCCAGCUUUUCUCUCAAAAUCACAUCCACUGUUACUCUUCUGGCUCUUGUUUCAAAUGUUUGGUUCUUUCCGGUUGCAUGAACAGUGUUUGCGCUGUUAGCACCUGAGGAAAAACACCCAGCCACGAGGAAAUAUACAUCAGGACUGAAGAUGUGCUGAGCUUAGGCUCUGGCUGUUCUUUAUGAAAGAUAACUGCUGUUGAUCUACUCAUUUGGGGUUGGCGACUUCCAUACUGAAAACCACUGGUCUAAAUUUUCCUGUGUCCAUUGCAACUUACAACAACUGCUUUUGUAAAAUGAAGGCUUUUUUGAAAGCUAGAAGGGAAACUGCCUAAUUCAAAUACUUGUUUACAGUGUGGUUGUAUAGCUGUAAAGAGGGAUUCUGCACCUCCAAAUUGCUGUAAAAACUUCCCACUGGGUGAAAUUUGACUGGUGAAUGUUCCAGUAUUCAGAGCAGUUUCUGGGUUUUAUUACACAAAAAAAGUACACACUUAAGCUUUAGCUUGGUUAUGAAAUACAGUGUAUAUCUUAAUUUUGAUCUGAAUUUGAUAUGUUGCAAAAAUCCAUAUAAUUAUAUGGAUCUAUUUUAAAAUGUCUUUUUCUCCACUGUAUAUGUGAAGUUUGAAUAAAGGAAUGAAAGUUAUUUUACAGUUA